AUUGAACGCUGGCGGAAUGCUUUACACAUGCAAGUCGAACGGCAGCACGGGGGCAACCCUGGUGGCGAGUGGCGAACGGGUGAGUAAUACAUCGGAACGUGCCCAGUCGUGGGGGAUAACGUAGCGAAAGCUACGCUAAUACCGCAUACGAACUCUGGUUGAAAGCGGGGGAUCGCAAGACCUCGCGCGAUUGGAGCGGCCGAUGGCAGAUUAGGUAGUUGGUGGGGUAAAGGCCUACCAAGCCGACGAUCUGUAGCUGGUCUGAGAGGACGACCAGCCACACUGGGACUGAGACACGGCCCAGACUCCUACGGGAGGCAGCAGUGGGGAAUUUUGGACAAUGGGCGCAAGCCUGAUCCAGCCAUUCCGCGUGCAGGAUGAAGGCCCUCGGGUUGUAAACUGCUUUUGUACGGAACGAAAAGGCUUCCUCUAAUACAGGAGGCCGAUGACGGUACCGUAAGAAUAAGCACCGGCUAACUACGUGCCAGCCGCCGCCGUAA
This 500-nucleotide ribosomal RNA is filed under the name uncultured bacterium. RNAcentral describes it as "partial 16S ribosomal RNA". It matches the Rfam family "Bacterial small subunit ribosomal RNA", at positions 29 to 523 of the family's 1533-position model. The record is from RNAcentral.